RNAcentral lists this ribosomal RNA (172 nucleotides) under Helice tridens. Its description in RNAcentral is "partial 16S rRNA". Lineage: Eukaryota; Metazoa; Arthropoda; Malacostraca; Decapoda; Varunidae. The record is from RNAcentral.
GCUUAAUAUUAAAAUUUUAUUUAGUUGAAUUUUUUUGUUAUAAAAACUUAGUGAUUGAGUUUAUUUUAUUGGGGCGAUAAGAGUAAAAUGAUUAUUAACUGCUUAAUUUUUGAUACAUUUAUAGAUGAUUAAAUUUUUAGAUGAUCCUAGUUAGAGAUUAAAAGUUUAAGUU